Molecule: RNase P RNA, 420 nt
Filed under: Pannonibacter tanglangensis
Lineage: Bacteria; Pseudomonadati; Pseudomonadota; Alphaproteobacteria; Hyphomicrobiales; Stappiaceae
Description: Pannonibacter sp. XCT-34 RNase P RNA component class A
Rfam family: Bacterial RNase P class A
About the family: Ribonuclease P (RNase P) is a ubiquitous endoribonuclease, found in archaea, bacteria and eukarya as well as chloroplasts and mitochondria.
Source: RNAcentral
UCAGUCGGCCGGACGGCCGCUGCCGCGAGAGCCGAAAGGCUGCGGGGGAGGAAAGUCCGGGCUCCAUGGAGACACGGUGCCGGGUAACACCCGGCGGGGGCGACCCCAGGGACAGUGCCACAGAAAGCAAACCGCCCGUGCUGCCUCGCUCCGGCGAGGGCCACCACGGGUAAGGGUGAAAGGGUGGGGUAAGAGCCCACCGCGCGACCGGUAACGGAAGCGGCACGGUAAACCCCACCGGGAGCAAAACCGAAUAGGGAUGGCACAGGGUCCCGCAAGGGAGCCGGGUUGGUUUCCAGGCCGGCCAUCCGGGUAGGUUGCGCGAGGCGUCUGGCAACAGGCGUCCCAGAUGAAUGGCCGUCGCGUGGACCGGUCAAACGGUCUGCCUUACAGAACCCGGCUUACAGGCCGACUGACACU